Molecule: ribosomal RNA, 2738 nt
Filed under: Escherichia coli
Lineage: Bacteria; Pseudomonadati; Pseudomonadota; Gammaproteobacteria; Enterobacterales; Enterobacteriaceae
Description: partial 23S ribosomal RNA
Rfam family: Bacterial large subunit ribosomal RNA
Source: RNAcentral
CGGGGGAACUGAAACAUCUAAGUACCCCGAGGAAAAGAAAUCAACCGAGAUUCCCCCAGUAGCGGCGAGCGAACGGGGAGCAGCCCAGAGCCUGAAUCAGUGUGUGUGUUAGUGGAAGCGUCUGGAAAGGCGUGCGAUACAGGGUGACAGCCCCGUACACAAAAAUGCACAUGCUGUGAGCUCGAUGAGUAGGGCGGGACACGUGGUAUCCUGUCUGAAUAUGGGGGGACCAUCCUCCAAGGCUAAAUACUCCUGACUGACCGAUAGUGAACCAGUACCGUGAGGGAAAGGCGAAAAGAACCCCGGCGAGGGGAGUGAAAAAGAACCUGAAACCGUGUACGUACAAGCAGUGGGAGCACGCUUAGGCGUGUGACUGCGUACCUUUUGUAUAAUGGGUCAGCGACUUAUAUUCUGUAGCAAGGUUAACCGAAUAGGGGAGCCGAAGGGAAACCGAGUCUUAACUGGGCGUUAAGUUGCAGGGUAUAGACCCGAAACCCGGUGAUCUAGCCAUGGGCAGGUUGAAGGUUGGGUAACACUAACUGGAGGACCGAACCGACUAAUGUUGAAAAAUUAGCGGAUGACUUGUGGCUGGGGGUGAAAGGCCAAUCAAACCGGGAGAUAGCUGGUUCUCCCCGAAAGCUAUUUAGGUAGCGCCUCGUGAAUUCAUCUCCGGGGGUAGAGCACUGUUUCGGCAAGGGGGUCAUCCCGACUUACCAACCCGAUGCAAACUGCGAAUACCGGAGAAUGUUAUCACGGGAGACACACGGCGGGUGCUAACGUCCGUCGUGAAGAGGGAAACAACCCAGACCGCCAGCUAAGGUCCCAAAGUCAUGGUUAAGUGGGAAACGAUGUGGGAAGGCCCAGACAGCCAGGAUGUUGGCUUAGAAGCAGCCAUCAUUUAAAGAAAGCGUAAUAGCUCACUGGUCGAGUCGGCCUGCGCGGAAGAUGUAACGGGGCUAAACCAUGCACCGAAGCUGCGGCAGCGACACUGUGUGUUGUUGGGUAGGGGAGCGUUCUGUAAGCCUGCGAAGGUGUGCUGUGAGGCAUGCUGGAGGUAUCAGAAGUGCGAAUGCUGACAUAAGUAACGAUAAAGCGGGUGAAAAGCCCGCUCGCCGGAAGACCAAGGGUUCCUGUCCAACGUUAAUCGGGGCAGGGUGAGUCGACCCCUAAGGCGAGGCCGAAAGGCGUAGUCGAUGGGAAACAGGUUAAUAUUCCUGUACUUGGUGUUACUGCGAAGGGGGGACGGAGAAGGCUAUGUUGGCCGGGCGACGGUUGUCCCGGUUUAAGCGUGUAGGCUGGUUUUCCAGGCAAAUCCGGAAAAUCAAGGCUGAGGCGUGAUGACGAGGCACUACGGUGCUGAAGCAACAAAUGCCCUGCUUCCAGGAAAAGCCUCUAAGCAUCAGGUAACAUCAAAUCGUACCCCAAACCGACACAGGUGGUCAGGUAGAGAAUACCAAGGCGCUUGAGAGAACUCGGGUGAAGGAACUAGGCAAAAUGGUGCCGUAACUUCGGGAGAAGGCACGCUGAUAUGUAGGUGAAGUCCCUCGCGGAUGGAGCUGAAAUCAGUCGAAGAUACCAGCUGGCUGCAACUGUUUAUUAAAAACACAGCACUGUGCAAACACGAAAGUGGACGUAUACGGUGUGACGCCUGCCCGGUGCCGGAAGGUUAAUUGAUGGGGUCAGCGCAAGCGAAGCUCUUGAUCGAAGCCCCGGUAAACGGCGGCCGUAACUAUAACGGUCCUAAGGUAGCGAAAUUCCUUGUCGGGUAAGUUCCGACCUGCACGAAUGGCGUAAUGAUGGCCAGGCUGUCUCCACCCGAGACUCAGUGAAAUUGAACUCGCUGUGAAGAUGCAGUGUACCCGCGGCAAGACGGAAAGACCCCGUGAACCUUUACUAUAGCUUGACACUGAACAUUGAGCCUUGAUGUGUAGGAUAGGUGGGAGGCUUUGAAGUGUGGACGCCAGUCUGCAUGGAGCCGACCUUGAAAUACCACCCUUUAAUGUUUGAUGUUCUAACGUUGACCCGUGAUCCGGGUUGCGGACAGUGUCUGGUGGGUAGUUUGACUGGGGCGGUCUCCUCCUAAAGAGUAACGGAGGAGCACGAAGGUUGGCUAAUCCUGGUCGGACAUCAGGAGGUUAGUGCAAUGGCAUAAGCCAGCUUGACUGCGAGCGUGACGGCGCGAGCAGGUGCGAAAGCAGGUCAUAGUGAUCCGGUGGUUCUGAAUGGAAGGGCCAUCGCUCAACGGAUAAAAGGUACUCCGGGGAUAACAGGCUGAUACCGCCCAAGAGUUCAUAUCGACGGCGGUGUUUGGCACCUCGAUGUCGGCUCAUCACAUCCUGGGGCUGAAGUAGGUCCCAAGGGUAUGGCUGUUCGCCAUUUAAAGUGGUACGCGAGCUGGGUUUAGAACGUCGUGAGACAGUUCGGUCCCUAUCUGCCGUGGGCGCUGGAGAACUGAGGGGGGCUGCUCCUAGUACGAGAGGACCGGAGUGGACGCAUCACUGGUGUUCGGGUUGUCAUGCCAAUGGCACUGCCCGGUAGCUAAAUGCGGAAGAGAUAAGUGCUGAAAGCAUCUAAGCACGAAACUUGCCCCGAGAUGAGUUCUCCCUGACUCCUUGAGAGUCCUGAAGGAACGUUGAAGACGACGACGUUGAUAGGCCGGGUGUGUAAGCGCAGCGAUGCGUUGAGCUAACCGGUACUAAUGAACCGUGAGGCUUAACCUUACAACGCCGAAGGUGUUU